Camellia sinensis is the source of this 1429-nucleotide long non-coding RNA. RefSeq lists it as uncharacterized. The record is from RefSeq and is a predicted model, not a curated record. NCBI's taxonomy places the organism in Eukaryota, Viridiplantae, Streptophyta, Magnoliopsida, Ericales, Theaceae.
CUUCCCUAUAGAUAGAGUGAGAAAGAGAGAUGAGGAGAAUGAGAGAGUUGUUGUUUCUGUUGUUGUUCAUGAUGAUUUCAACAGAUGGAUUUUCAAUAGAGAUUUUUUCAAUAGAUAAAGAGAGAAAAGUAAAGUGAAAAGAGAAACAGAUAGAGAGAGAAAAGUUUGAAAAUGGUGUGAAUUUGAAUAGAUAGAAAAAAGAGGUUAUAAAAGUUAAUAGAUAAGUUAAAAAAUCAAUAGAUAGUCAAAAUUUUUGAAUAGAUAGAUAUAAAUUUGAAUAUAUAUUAAAAAAAAGUUAAUAGGUAAAAAAAAAUCAACAGAUAAAUUAAAGUGUAAAAUUGAAAACAAAAUGUACUCCCAAAAUAAUAAAAGGACUUUUCACCAAAUUACUUCAUAAAGUGUGAACCUCUCACUAACAAAAAAUAUUCAUUAGACCCAAUGCGUUAUAUCUUCUUUAGAUUGGAUUUAUCAACAAUUUUUCAAUUUCUACCUGUUCUCUUAUACAAUAAUAAAAUUAUCUGAAUUAUUAAUUGAAAUAAAAUUUUGAUAUCAUUAAAACCUAUUAAUUGAUUUGAUGAUUUAUUAAUAAAAUUUUUCAAUUGUUAUGAAAUUUGAAACGUCACGGGUAAGAUGUAAUUUUUAAAAUUGUAAGAGAUAAUUUGUAUUUUAAGUAAAUUUUAGGAAUGUAUUUAUAAUUUACUGUUUUAGACUUUAGACUAAAACAGUAAAUUGAAACUUCUAAGAGCAACUCCAAGGGAAGAGGUAAAAUGAGACUGUUAGCUAUUUUAGCUCGUAUGACCCUAAUAUUUUCACUCCAAUGGGCUGGCUAAAUGGCUUCCUAUUUUCCCUCGCGGCUUCUCCUCUGGCUUCAAUUGGAGAGUGAUUGAAGGCUCUCCAAACUCUUCUCUCCCGCGAAAUUGAUCUGCUCACGUCUCUCUCGCGAAAUCGAUAUGCUUCUUCAGCGCGAAAUCGAUCUCCAAACAUGUCUCUUUCGUGAAAACGAUCUGCUCCUUCAGUGCGAAAUCGAUCUUCUCCUUCAACGUUGUCUGCAACUCCCUCCAUCGACCUCUUCUUCAAGCCUUUUUCAGGCAUCGUCACUGUUGUUGCCACUAGAUUUGCCGUCUCCUCGUCUCCAUGGUCCCACCUGCUUCAGAUCUAGCUCCACGAUUUCUCCGCUUCUUUGCUCCACCAGAUCUGCCCCGGUCACUGGUGUUAUUGUCGUCUCUCUGCAGGUCUGAGGUCUGAAGGUAGCUUGGUUUGUUUUGUUUUUGGUGUUUGGUUGUGUGAUUGAGUUUUCAUCGAUAUUUAUUUGUUGCUUACCCAUCUCUAUGAAUGUAGCCUAUAAUUUUUUCUUCGACUCACCCUAUUGUCAAACUCUUAUAAUCGACUUUGCUUUAUAGUACGGGCUUAGUGUUGCAUUUUUCUCAUA